GGCAGGACACCCCCACUGGCGAUGGUCACUCCUUUCAACAGCUGAGAGAGAGGUGCAAAGGGCUGGUCAGGUCUGUGCUGGCUAACGGGGGUCUCAGCACUGGCCAGACAAGACUUGAGACUGGCUUCUGCUUAACCAAUAAAGCCAAUUACCACGCAGCUACGGCUUUCUCGUCCUGCACGUGCAAAGCGUUUCUCAGUAGGUCUCAGGUGGUCUGCGUUGUUGCACAGAAAGCAAACAAGGCAAAAUGAAAGGUUCAGAGAAGCUGAAACUGGGACGAGGCCCAGGGCUCUGGAAUCUCAGAUGGCAACCCUUGUGGAAGAUUAGUUUAGAUGGGUUACAUCUGUUUAUGCCGGGGAAUGUUUGUUUAACGAUACAAAGACGUACUGCGUUCUUUAUGUUGAAUUUGUUUAGCUCUGUGAAGCUGUGUUCCUUUGUCUGUCUAAAACACCAGAGUGGUCUAAUAAAGAGCUGAAUGGCCAAUAGCCAGGCAGCAGAAGGAUAGGUAGGGCUGACAGGUAGAGAGUCUAAAUAGAAGGAGAAAAAGAGAGAGGAUCAAGAAAAGGAGAAGGAGAGGAGGCUAUCAGGGGCCAGCUACCCAGCUACACAGCAAGUCACAGAAUAAGAUCUGGAAUAAUCUGCGUAUUUUAAACGAGAGGGUGGUGUGAAGCCACAGCUCAUCUCUGGACCACUAGUCACCCAUAUGUGACCAGAGCACUGGCACUUUGAGAGUCUAGAAAUGUCUACAGCAAACAGGCAGUUGCUACAGCACUAUUGAUUCGGCCAACAAGGGCUUGUGGGUUUUCGUGAGCAUGACUUUGUUUCCCAUUUUUCUCAGAACAUAGAUAAAAAUUCUCGUGCUAUUUACCCACCUGCUUGCCUGCUGUUGAGGAGGAAGGCAUUCACUUGACUGCGAAGGCAAUCAGUUCUACUGCAUAAAUAAGGAGUCUCCUGCUCAGAUCCCAAUGAAAAUCCACAGGGUUGGAGUCAAGAAAUGGCCAGGUUUAAUACAAGGACAACGUAAAUGUCGAGUGGGAUUAAGUAAGAAGUGCAUCAAUCAGGUCACCUGCCAGAUGGAGCGGCGCACACCUGUGACACCAGCACUGAGGAAUCUGGGGCAGGAGAAUUGAAUGGAAAUGUGAAGCCAGCUUGGUAACGCAUCAACCGACCUACUGGAAAGAUGACACCGGCCCUGGCUGACCGGGACAGCUUGGACAUUUUCUUCUUCCCACUCCGGCCUGACAUCUUGCCUCAGUUUCCCUCUCAGCUUGCUGACACACUGGCUUCCUGG
This is a long non-coding RNA of Alexandromys fortis (reed vole), 1291 nucleotides long. RefSeq lists it as uncharacterized. The transcript is spliced from 3 exons. The record is from RefSeq and is a predicted model, not a curated record. NCBI's taxonomy places the organism in Eukaryota, Metazoa, Chordata, Mammalia, Rodentia, Cricetidae.